RNAcentral lists this ribosomal RNA (253 nucleotides) under uncultured bacterium. RNAcentral describes it as "partial 16S ribosomal RNA". It matches the Rfam family "Bacterial small subunit ribosomal RNA", at positions 524 to 776 of the family's 1533-position model. The record is from RNAcentral.
UACGUAGGGUGCGAGCGUUAAUCGGAAUUACUGGGCGUAAAGCGUGCGCAGGCGGUUGUGCAAGACAGAUGUGAAAUCCCCGGGCUCAACCUGGGAACUGCAUUUGUGACUGCACGGCUGGAGUGCGGCAGAGGGGGAUGGAAUUCCGCGUGUAGCAGUGAAAUGCGUAGAUAUGCGGAGGAACACCGAUGGCGAAGGCAGCCCCCUGGGCUGAGAUUGACGCUCAGGUACGAAAGCGUGGGGAGCAAACAGG